UACGGGGGGGGCAAGCGUUGUUCGGAAUUACUGGGCGUAAAGGGCUCGUAGGUGGCCAACUAAGUCGGACGUGAAAUCCCUCGGCUUAACCGGGGAACUGCGUCCGAUACUGGUUGGCUUGAGUUUGGGAGAGGGAUGCGGAAUUCCAGGUGUAGCGGUGAAAUGCGCAGAUAUCAGGAAGAACACCUAUGGCGAAGGCAGCUCUCUGGGACGGUACUGACGCUGAGACGCGAAAGCGUGGGGAGCGAACAGG
Molecule: ribosomal RNA, 253 nt
Filed under: uncultured bacterium
Lineage: Bacteria
Description: partial 16S ribosomal RNA
Rfam family: Bacterial small subunit ribosomal RNA
Source: RNAcentral